AAUCCCUAACCACUAACUUGUUCUAAGGUUGAAGGUGAAAAUGUGAUCGACAAACACAACCAAUGAAUUGAAUAAACUUGCAAAAUACAAAAUCUAACACACACAUGCACACACAUUCAUAACAAAAUUUUACAUAUGUAAGAUGAUACUUUUGCUUAUGUACAUCUGCUUAUUAGCUCUCAUAUUCUAAACAGAUUCGAUAGAGGUACUUUGAUAAAAAUGUGGCGCUGCUUCCAAUAACAUUUCUGGUUGAAUAACAGUCAAAUCCUUCAUAGUAUACAAGCAGCUAUUCGGAUGAAUAUAUAAAUCCUUAUUACCUCGAACUGUUCUGUACACACCUGUAUAAUGUAAAUAUGCUGCUUUAGGAAAAAGACCAGCUGUCAAACACUUGAGAAUUUGUUGAACAUUCCCUAAAAUAUCGA
Cataglyphis hispanica is the source of this 422-nucleotide long non-coding RNA. RefSeq lists it as uncharacterized. The transcript is spliced from 3 exons. Lineage: Eukaryota; Metazoa; Arthropoda; Insecta; Hymenoptera; Formicidae. The record is from RefSeq and is a predicted model, not a curated record.